Molecule: ribosomal RNA, 465 nt
Filed under: Vreelandella stevensii
Lineage: Bacteria; Pseudomonadati; Pseudomonadota; Gammaproteobacteria; Oceanospirillales; Halomonadaceae
Description: partial 16S ribosomal RNA
Rfam family: Bacterial small subunit ribosomal RNA
Source: RNAcentral
CCUACGGGUGGCAGCAGUGGGGAAUAUUGGACAAUGGGGGGAACCCUGAUCCAGCCAUGCCGCGUGUGUGAAGAAGGCCCUCGGGUUGUAAAGCACUUUCAGUGAGGAAGAACGCCUGGUGGUUAAUACCCAUCAGGAAAGACAUCACUCACAGAAGAAGCACCGGCUAACUCCGUGCCAGCAGCCGCGGUAAUACGGAGGGUGCGAGCGUUAAUCGGAAUUACUGGGCGUAAAGCGCGCGUAGGUGGCUUGAUAAGCCGGUUGUGAAAGCCCCGGGCUCAACCUGGGAACGGCAUCCGGAACUGUCAAGCUAGAGUGCGGGAGAGGAAGGUAGAAUUCCCGGUGUAGCGGUGAAAUGCGUAGAGAUCGGGAGGAAUACCAGUGGCGAAGGCGGCCUUCUGGACUGACACUGACACUGAGGUGCGAAAGCGUGGGUAGCAAACAGGAUUAGAUACCCUGGUAGUC